RNAcentral lists this ribosomal RNA (623 nucleotides) under Escherichia coli. RNAcentral's name for it is "bacterial SSU rRNA". It matches the Rfam family "Bacterial small subunit ribosomal RNA", at positions 1 to 613 of the family's 1533-position model. The record is from RNAcentral. Lineage: Bacteria; Pseudomonadati; Pseudomonadota; Gammaproteobacteria; Enterobacterales; Enterobacteriaceae.
AAAUUGAAGAGUUUGAUCAUGGCUCAGAUUGAACGCUGGCGGCAGGCCUAACACAUGCAAGUCGAACGGUAACAGGAAACAGCUUGCUGUUUCGAUGACGAGUGGCGGACGGGUGAGUAAUGUCUGGGAAACUGCCUGAUGGAGGGGGAUAACUACUGGAAACGGUAGCUAAUACCGCAUAACGUCGCAAGACCAAAGAGGGGGACCUUCGGGCCUCUUGCCAUCGGAUGUGCCCAGAUGGGAUUAGCUAGUAGGUGGGGUAACGGCUCACCUAGGCGACGAUCCCUAGCUGGUCUGAGAGGAUGACCAGCCACACUGGAACUGAGACACGGUCCAGACUCCUACGGGAGGCAGCAGUGGGGAAUAUUGCACAAUGGGCGCAAGCCUGAUGCAGCCAUGCCGCGUGUAUGAAGAAGGCCUUCGGGUUGUAAAGUACUUUCAGCGGGGAGGAAGGGAGUAAAGUUAAUACCUUUGCUCAUUGACGUUACCCGCAGAAGAAGCACCGGCUAACUCCGUGCCAGCAGCCGCGGUAAUACGGAGGGUGCAAGCGUUAAUCGGAAUUACUGGGCGUAAAGCGCACGCAGGCGGUUUGUUAAGUCAGAUGUGAAAUCCCCGGGCUCAAC